This 691-nucleotide long non-coding RNA is filed under the name Pongo abelii (Sumatran orangutan). RNAcentral's name for it is "lincRNA". Lineage: Eukaryota; Metazoa; Chordata; Mammalia; Primates; Hominidae. The record is from RNAcentral.
ACAAGGAGAGGGGCUUUGUGUCUUGUUUCACACUGUGUCCCCAGGCUUAGAAUAUUCUGGCAUCAGAAGGCACUCAAUAAACAUAGAAAGGAAGAAAGGAAGAAGAUGAAAUCAGGAGUACAGAUUAAAGUGUUAUCUUUGGAAGAGAGGCAAGACAUCCUCUGGGACAGAAGGGAAGGAGGGAAAGCUGGGGAACAUGCAGAUAAUACAAGAGGUGCGGUUUGUGACUGAUGGCUGCUAUUUUCUCUGUGAGACUGAAUCCAGACAACUUUGGACAUUCCUUCAUUUGAAAAAUUUUUACUGAACAAUUAAAGACCAUUGAUAUAGUGAACAUCAGGAUGCCAUAGUUUUCCUGUCUUCAUGGAGAUGAAUGAAUGAACUGUAUUUUUUAUUAGCCCGAGCAAGAGUUCUUCCCAAAUUUCCUCCAUGAACCAUAGGCUCCUACCUCUUAACCAUUUUAUGAAAAUUCUAUGGUGAAUUGAGGUCCUCCAGUUAUUUGACAAUAUCUGAUUUUGCCAUGGUCACGUGGGAAAAGUAGGCAUGUGAGCAAGUCAUAGUUUUACUUGGUUGGAAGAUUCUUCUAAUUAUGUCAAGAUGAAAGGUUUUAUACUGCGUAGAAGGCAGUGUGAGAGAAGCGGACAGUAGGACUCCUAUUUGGUGGGCCAGUGGCUAUAUUUUAAAAUAUGAAGGA